Molecule: transfer RNA, 74 nt
Filed under: Planctomycetota bacterium
Lineage: Bacteria; Pseudomonadati; Planctomycetota
Description: Planctomycetes bacterium tRNA-Met
Rfam family: tRNA
About the family: Transfer RNA (tRNA) molecules are approximately 80 nucleotides in length.
Source: RNAcentral
GGUGGUAUAGCUCAGUCGGUUAGAGCGGCGGAUUCAUAAGCCGCAGGUCAGUGGUUCAAAUCCACUUACCACUA